Molecule: ribosomal RNA, 465 nt
Filed under: uncultured bacterium
Lineage: Bacteria
Description: partial 16S ribosomal RNA
Rfam family: Bacterial small subunit ribosomal RNA
Source: RNAcentral
GACGAACGCUGGCGGCGUGCUUAACACAUGCAAGUCGAACGGUAAGGCUCCAGCUUGCUGGGGUACACGAGUGGCGAACGGGUGAGUAACACGUGGGUGACCUGCCCUGCACUUCGGAAUAAGCCUGGGAAACUGGGACUAAUACCGGCUAGGUACGCACCGUGAGGGGGUGGUGGAAAGUUUUUUCGGUGUGGGAUGGGCCCGCGCCCUAUCAGCGUGUUGGUGGGGUAAUGGCCUACCAAGGCGGCGACGGGUAACCGGCCUGAGAGGGUGGACGGCCACAAUAGGACUGAGACACGGCCCAGACUCCAACGGGAGGCAGCAGUGGGGAAUAUUGCACAAUGGGCGGAAGCCUGAUGCAGCGACGCCGCGUGGGGGAUGACGGCCUUCGGGUUGUAAACUCCUUUCACCAUCGACGAAGGGUUUCUGACGGUAGAUGGAGAAGAAGCACCGGCUAACUACGUG